This 779-nucleotide long non-coding RNA is filed under the name Homo sapiens (human). RNAcentral's name for it is "non-protein coding GATA6-AS1:6". Lineage: Eukaryota; Metazoa; Chordata; Mammalia; Primates; Hominidae. The record is from RNAcentral.
AGAGUGCACGAAGCCGCCGGGCGCGCCGUCGUAGGCGGCCGGACCCUGGCUGGAGAGAGCGGCGAGGGUCUGGUACAUCUCCUCCGGCUGCUCGGGUGCGAAGGGGCUCAGCUUGGCGCCGCGGCUGGACCACAGCAGCUUGCUGGCGGUCGCGGCUUGGUCGAGGUCAGUGAACAGCAGCAAGUCCUCCCAGCUCGACAGGUUGCCCCCGGGGCCCGCGACCCCAGGCGCCGAAGGUCCGUGGGGAGCCCCGAAGGGAUGCGAAGCGUAGGAACUGAGCAGCAGCGAGCGGGCCGGGGGUCCGGCCGCCGCCUCCGUGUCGAGCUGAGGCGUCCCGCAGUUGCUGGCGCCGCCGGGGCCCCGCUCUCCGCCCCGGGAGCAGGAGGAGGACGAGGAAGAGAUGGGGGAAGGCGGCGUGGAGGGCUCCCGCGCUGGAAAGGCUCUGGAGUCGCUGGCGUCCGCACCCGCGGCCCCGAAGCGCUUCGGCAAGCACCAGCCGCCGUCAGUCAAGGCCAUCCACGGUCCGGCGCCGCUCCAAGCUGACGUCUAGCUCUCGGGCGGGCGCUGCGCAUGGAGAACGGCCGCGGCGGAGGGUGCUCCCAGGCGCGGAGAGAAGCCGAGGGCGCCAGCGGGCGAGCGCGAGUCCGGGGUCUGCGCCGCGCUGCUGGUGAAUAAAAAGGAGAGAGGAGGCGCCUCUUACUGCUCUGCCGGAAAACUGCAGCCUGGGCUCCUGAUUGGACUCACCGAGCCCUAAACAAACAGCGCUCGCCGAAGGGUGC